Non-coding RNA from Enterobacter cloacae S611, 433 nucleotides. NCBI's taxonomy places the organism in Bacteria, Pseudomonadati, Pseudomonadota, Gammaproteobacteria, Enterobacterales, Enterobacteriaceae. The record is from Rfam.
GUUUGAUAAAUCAUUAUCUCCAGCCAGUAGUCCACUAAAGUCUCUCUCAUCUCUAAGUACCUCGAUAGUUACUUCUUUUUGGGUCUCUUUACACGCUGAUAAAUAAUGCUUCAGACCAUUGCCGCCUAAAAAGGCCUAUAAAACAAGAGGGUAACAAACAUGUCUAAUAAAAUGACUGGUAUCGUAAAAUGGUUCAACGCUGAGAAAGGCUUUGGCUUCAUCACUCCUAAAGAUGGCAGCAAAGAUGUAUUCGUACACUUCUCUGCAAUCCAGAGCGAUAACUACCGCACUCUUGAUGAAAAUCAGGAAGUUGAAUUCACCAUUGAAAAUGGUGCGAAAGGCCCAGCCGCUGCUAACGUAGUGCCGCGCUAAGGACGAUUUUAUUACGAACCAUAUCCAUUUCCGCUGCCCGUGCUGCCACGGGUCGCAAUAC